GACGAACGCUGGCGGUGUGCUUAACACAUGCAAGUCGAACGGAAAGGCCCUGCUUUUGUGGGGUGCUCGAGUGGCGAACGGGUGAGUAACACGUGAGUAACCUGCCCUUGACUUUGGGAUAACUUCAGGAAACUGGGGCUAAUACCGGAUAGGAGCUCCUGCUGCAUGGUGGGGGUUGGAAAGUUUCGGCGGUUGGGGAUGGACUCGCGGCUUAUCAGCUUGUUGGUGGGGUAGUGGCUUACCAAGGGUUUGACGGGUAGCCGGCCUGAGAGGGUGACCGGCCACAUUGGGACUGAGAUACGGCCCAGACUCCUACGGGAGGCAGCAGUGGGGAAUAUUGCACAAUGGGCGGAAGCCUGAUGCGGAAACGCCGCGUGCGGGAUGACGGCCUUCGGGUUGUAAACCGCUUUCGCCUGUGACGAAGCGUGAGUGACGGUAAUGGGUAAAGAAGCACCGGCUAACUACGUG
Molecule: ribosomal RNA, 468 nt
Filed under: uncultured bacterium
Lineage: Bacteria
Description: partial 16S ribosomal RNA
Rfam family: Bacterial small subunit ribosomal RNA
Source: RNAcentral